GAUGAAGAACGUAGCGAAAUGCGAUACGUAAUGUGAAUUGCAGAAUUCAGUGAAUCAUCGAGUCUUUGAACGCACAUUGCGCCCUGUGGUAUUCCGCAGGGCAUGCCUGUUCGAGCGUCAUUUCAACCCUCAAGCCCCGCUUGGUGUUGGGCCCCGCCCGCCGUGGCCGGCCCUAAAGACAGUGGCGGCGCCGCCUGGCCCUCAGCGUAGUACAGCUCUCGCUCCAGGGUCCGGCGGCCGCCUGCCAGAACCCCCCAACUCUGUGGUUGACCUCGGAUCAGGUAGGGAUACCCGCUGAACUUAAGCAUAUCAAUAAGCGGAGGA
This 324-nucleotide unclassified non-coding RNA is filed under the name soil metagenome. RNAcentral's name for it is "partial contains 5.8S ribosomal RNA, internal transcribed spacer 2, and large subunit ribosomal RNA". The stretch from base 1 to 120 matches the Rfam family "5.8S ribosomal RNA", at positions 35 to 154 of the family's 154-position model. The record is from RNAcentral.